Molecule: non-coding RNA, 84 nt
Organism: Favolaschia claudopus
Lineage: Eukaryota; Fungi; Basidiomycota; Agaricomycetes; Agaricales; Mycenaceae
Source: the annotation of a GenBank genome assembly
UCGGGUAUGGUGUAAGGGGCAACAUGGUUGAAUGUUGCGUGUGCGCGCAUUCAAAGGCUCGAGGUUCGAUUCCUCGUACCCGGU